This 1126-nucleotide ribosomal RNA is filed under the name uncultured Marinobacter sp. RNAcentral's name for it is "bacterial SSU rRNA". It matches the Rfam family "Bacterial small subunit ribosomal RNA", at positions 257 to 1370 of the family's 1533-position model. The record is from RNAcentral. Lineage: Bacteria; Pseudomonadati; Pseudomonadota; Gammaproteobacteria; Pseudomonadales; Marinobacteraceae.
GUAACGGCCUACCAAGGCGACGAUCCGUAGCUGGUCUGAGAGGAUGAUCAGCCACAUCGGGACUGAGACACGGCCCGAACUCCUACGGGAGGCAGCAGUGGGGAAUAUUGGACAAUGGGGGCAACCCUGAUCCAGCCAUGCCGCGUGUGUGAAGAAGGCUUUCGGGUUGUAAAGCACUUUCAGUGAGGAGGAAAACCUUAUGGCUAAUAUCCAUGAGGCUUGACGUUACUCACAGAAGAAGCUCCGGCUAACUCCGUGCCAGCAGCCGCGGUAAUACGGAGGGUGCAAGCGUUAAUCGGAAUUACUGGGCGUAAAGCGCGCGUAGGUGGUUCGAUAAGCGAGAUGUGAAAGCCCCGGGCUUAACCUGGGAACGGCAUUUCGAACUGUCGGGCUAGAGUGUGGUAGAGGGUAGUGGAAUUUCCUGUGUAGCGGUGAAAUGCGUAGAUAUAGGAANGGNAACACCAGNUNGGCGAAGGCGGCUACCUGGACCAACACUGACACUGAGGUGCGAAAGCGUGGGGAGCAAACANGGAUUAGAUACCCUGGUAGUCCACGCCGUAAACGAUGUCAACUAGCCGUUGGGGAUCUUGAAUCCUUAGUGGCGCAGCUAACGCACUAAGUUGACCGCCUGGGGAGUACGGCCGCAANGGUUAAAACUCAAAUGAAUUGACGGGGGCCCGCACAAGCGGUGGAGCAUGUGGUUUAAUUCGACGCAACGCGAAGAACCUUACCUGGCCUUGACAUCCUGCGAACUUUCUAGAGAUAGAUUGGUGCCUUCGGGAACGCAGUGACAGGUGCUGCAUGGCCGUCGUCAGCUCGUGUCGUGAGAUGUUGGGUUAAGUCCCGUAACGAGCGCAACCCCUAUCCCUAGUUGCUAGCAGUUCGGCUGAGAACUCUAGGGAGACUGCCGGUGACAAACCGGAGGAAGGUGGGGAUGACGUCAGGUCAUCAUGGCCCUUACGGCCAGGGCUACACACGUGCUACAAUGGCGCGCACAGAGGGCUGCAAACUCGCGAGGGUAAGCCAAUCUCUUAAAACGCGUCGUAGUCCGGAUCGCAGUCUGCAACUCGACUGCGUGAAGUCGGAAUCGCUAGUAAUCGCGAAUCAGAAUGUCGCGGUGAAUACG